This 440-nucleotide ribosomal RNA is filed under the name uncultured bacterium. Its description in RNAcentral is "bacterial SSU rRNA". It matches the Rfam family "Bacterial small subunit ribosomal RNA", at positions 574 to 1013 of the family's 1533-position model. The record is from RNAcentral.
GGCGGUUGUAUAAGUUGGAUGUGAAAUCCCCGGGCUUAACCUGGGCACUGCAUUCAAAACUGUACGGCUAGAGUGUAGGAGAGGAAGGUAGAAUUCCAGGUGUAGCGGUGAAAUGCGUAGAGAUCUGGAGGAAUACCGAUGGCGAAGGCAGCCUUCUGGCCUAACACUGACGCUGAGGUGCGAAAGCAUGGGGAGCAAACAGGAUUAGAUACCCUGGUAGUCCAUGCCGUAAACGAUGUCUACUAGCCGUUGGGGGACUUGAUCCUUUAGUGGCGCAGCUAACGCAUUAAGUAGACCGCCUGGGGAGUACGGUCGCAAGACUAAAACUCAAAUGAAUUGACGGGGGCCCGCACAAGCGGUGGAGCAUGUGGUUUAAUUCGAUGCAACGCGAAGAACCUUACCUGGCCUUGACAUGUCUGGAAUCCUGUAGAGAUACGGGA